This 106-nucleotide non-coding RNA is filed under the name Deltaproteobacteria bacterium. RNAcentral describes it as "Glycine sequence". It matches the Rfam family "Glycine riboswitch aptamer". Rfam says of the family: This family represents the bacterial glycine riboswitch. The record is from RNAcentral. Lineage: Bacteria; Pseudomonadati; Myxococcota; Myxococcia.
UUUUAGGCUGCAGGAGAGACCCUUAUCAAAAGGAGAAGGGCGCCGAAGGUGCAAGCCCUGAAAAGAACAGGGCGAAUCUCUCAGGCAAAAGGACUGCAGCCUUGGA